This 428-nucleotide RNase P RNA is filed under the name Algoriphagus machipongonensis. RNAcentral's name for it is "Algoriphagus sp. PR1 Bacterial RNase P class A". It matches the Rfam family "Bacterial RNase P class A". From Rfam's summary of the family: Ribonuclease P (RNase P) is a ubiquitous endoribonuclease, found in archaea, bacteria and eukarya as well as chloroplasts and mitochondria. Its best characterised activity is the generation of mature 5'-ends of tRNAs by cleaving the 5'-leader elements of precursor-tRNAs. Cellular RNase Ps are ribonucleoproteins. The record is from Rfam by way of RNAcentral. Lineage: Bacteria; Pseudomonadati; Bacteroidota; Cytophagia; Cytophagales; Cyclobacteriaceae.
CGUGCAAGUCGUCUUGCCGUCCCGUACUUGAAAAUUCAAUUUCGAUUGGAUGUAUUAGAGUUGCGGGGAGGAAAGUCCGGGCAACAUAGAGCACCAUACUUCCUAACGGGAAGGGGGCUAACUGGUGACGGUUAGUUUACAGACAGUGCCACAGAAAACAAACCACCUAUUGGUUUUUAACCAGUGGGAAAGGGUGAAAAGGUGGGGUAAGAGCCCACCGCCCCGUCAGUGAUGCCGGGGGCAUGGCAAACCUUAUGGGUUGAAAGAUCAAAUAGGUUCCGCUUUGGAUUAAAUUCCAAAAAAAGUUGCUCGCUUUUAUGCGGAAUGGGUAGAUCGAUGGAUCCCGAUUGUGAAGUCGGGACUAGAUAAAUGGCAGGAGCCCUGAAUUUUUCAGGGAACAGAACCCGGCUUAUAGACUUGCACUUUUU